Molecule: ribosomal RNA, 115 nt
Filed under: Holosporales bacterium
Lineage: Bacteria; Pseudomonadati; Pseudomonadota; Alphaproteobacteria; Holosporales
Source: RNAcentral
UUUGGUGGUUAUAGCGAACUUGAAACACACGAACCCAUUCCGAACUCGAACGUGAAACGGUUCUGCGCCGAUGGUACUUUGUCUUAAGACACGGGAGAGUAGGUCGCUGCCAAAU